UCUUCGUGCUGGAGCUACAAUGUUAUUUCAUCCGUACUAGUAGUGCAGUACGAAAACAAAGAAGUUCAGAUACAACAUUAUUUAUAUCUAGCAUAUGUGCGCAUUGUAAUAGACCCAUACAUAAUAUCUGUAAAUACUGUCACAGCUGUUAAGACGCUAAUUACGAGGUACGUAUGGGCCAAAAGCACGCACUGCAACCAGUUUAACAGGAGCAGCACCCAGGACCCAGUGCUGUUUACAGGCUCCAUGAGGAAGAACUUGGACCCUUUCACCCAUCACACUGAUGAAGACCUGUGGAAGGCUCUGGAGGAGGCUAGUAUCCAAUCAGCCUAGUAUCCAAUCAGCAUACUCCAAAAAUGCGUGCAGAGUUUCCGGACCACAACGGAGAAGUUCCUUUUCAAUUUAUCAAUUCAAUUCUAAUUUCAAUUCAGAUUUUGAAAAUGACAGCACCACCGAGGGAUGGAACACUCAUCCUCCAGUCUUCAUGAGAGUUGAACCUUCACCUUAGCUUGCUGAGCUCUAUGCAGCGCUUGGAAAGGCUCUAGUUGGAAGAUGUAUUUAUUGUUCAAACUACAGGGGAGAGAAAUUAAAAACUGUCGAGACAAAAGUGGGAUUGAAUCCUUCAAUCUCAGAUUGUUGAGUCAGUAACUUAUCUCAGUGAGCUAUUCCUAAUUAAUCAAUUAAGUAAUCAACAAAUAAUACAUUAAUCAACCAAUUAACAGCUCAAUUAGCAGAUCAAUCAACCAAUUACUCAAUACAUUUUAUUUGUCACAUGAAAUCAAUUAGUCUACAAGGACAGAGUUUGAACAACAAAUAUUAGAAUGGAAACUUGAAAUGUCAGUUUCAAGAAUAGCUCACUGAGAUAAGCUACUGACUCAACCAUCUGAGGUUGAAGGAUCAAAUCCCACACCAUUUGUCUCAACAGUUUUUUAACUUCUCUCCUCUGAAAUGUGAACAAUAAAUACAACUUCCAACCAGCACAGAGUCUCAGAUCAGAUAGCUCAGUGUGAUAGAACGCUGGUUAGAGGACACGCAGGUCUUGGGUUCAAUCACCCUGAUGGACUGGUGUUUGUAUCCUGCAUUUCACAGAACAUUUCUUUCUUUCCUAAACCCAAAAAUUCGUCUUAACUGCGUACUGUAUUCGCUGGAGGUGGCGGCUGAGGUGGCGGCAGAGCGGAAUAGGCAUCAGCCCUUCACCCAGGAGACCCGGGUUCACAUCCAGUGUGCCCCGGUAGGAUCUGCGCAAGGUAAGGUAGGCACCACCCCGAAGGUGGUGCCUACCUUAAGGGUGUGGUGCCCAAGGGAGCAGUGCCCACCAGCAACCCCAAGCCACCCCAGAGGGGGGAAACCCCCAUGCCGCCCCUUCGGGGCGGCAUGGGGGUUUCCCAAGUGUCAUAACGGUGCGUUGCAACCCCGAAGGGGUUGCAACGCACCUUACCUUUUGCCGACUGCAACAAUGAAUUUUUUUCUCUAAGUGUCAUAAGUACAUCUCCAGCCUUUCACCCAGGAGACCAGGGUUCGUGUCCCACGUGUCAUGGUUAAGUACUUUCCUAAUCCCAACUGUCCUUGGCAUCC
Long non-coding RNA from Perca fluviatilis (European perch), 1575 nucleotides. RefSeq lists it as uncharacterized. NCBI's taxonomy places the organism in Eukaryota, Metazoa, Chordata, Actinopteri, Perciformes, Percidae. The transcript has 3 exons. The record is from RefSeq and is a predicted model, not a curated record.